This 531-nucleotide ribosomal RNA is filed under the name Salmonella enterica. RNAcentral's name for it is "partial 23S ribosomal RNA". It matches the Rfam family "Bacterial large subunit ribosomal RNA", at positions 661 to 1190 of the family's 2925-position model. The record is from RNAcentral. Lineage: Bacteria; Pseudomonadati; Pseudomonadota; Gammaproteobacteria; Enterobacterales; Enterobacteriaceae. RNAcentral also lists the same sequence under 2 other names.
GGGAGCCGUAGGGAAACCGAGUCUUAACCGGGCGUUAAGUUGCAGGGUAUAGACCCGAAACCCGGUGAUCUAGCCAUGGGCAGGUUGAAGGUUGGGUAACACUAACUGGAGGACCGAACCGACUAAUGUUGAAAAAUUAGCGGAUGACCUGUGGCUGGGGGUGAAAGGCCAAUCAAACCGGGAGAUAGCUGGUUCUCCCCGAAAGCUAUUUAGGUAGCGCCUCGUGAAUUCAUCUCCGGGGGUAGAGCACUGUUUCGGCUAGGGGGCCAUCCCGGCUUACCAACCCGAUGCAAACUGCGAAUACCGGAGAAUGUUAUCACGGGAGACACACGGCGGGUGCUAACGUCCGUCGUGAAGAGGGAAACAACCCAGACCGCCAGCUAAGGUCCCAAAGUCAUGGUUAAGUGGGAAACGAUGUGGGAAGGCCCAGACAGCCAGGAUGUUGGCUUAGAAGCAGCCAUCAUUUAAAGAAAGCGUAAUAGCUCACUGGUCGAGUCGGCCUGCGCGGAAGAUGUAACGGGGCUAAACCAU